CUUUUCUUUUCUUUUUUAGGUAUUGGGGAUCAAACUCAGGACCUUGUGCUUGCCAGGCAGGUGCAGUGCCACUGAGCUAGGACUCCAGCCCUCGGGUUCCUUUCCCAUGACAUUUGGAAUCUAUCUGAAUUUGUUGACCUCUCCUCCUACCGUAAUACCUUCCAUGGUGUGCACAAGGCAAGAAGCUCCUUACCAGAGGCCAAAAUGAUAGAGCUGCCUGAUAUGAACUUUUGCCCGUCAUAAGUAGGAGCUAAAAAAACCUCUUUUCCUUAUGAAGCCUCCACUUCCAGGUAUGUAUGUAUGUAUGUAUUUGUUUAUUUAUUUAUUGCAAAGGAAACAGAA
RNAcentral lists this long non-coding RNA (342 nucleotides) under Fukomys damarensis (Damara mole-rat). RNAcentral's name for it is "lncRNA (ENSFDAG00000029625.1)". The record is from RNAcentral. Lineage: Eukaryota; Metazoa; Chordata; Mammalia; Rodentia; Bathyergidae.